AGUGAACGCUGGCGGUAGGCCUAACACAUGCAAGUCGAACGGCAGCACAGUAAGAGCUUGCUCUUACGGGUGGCGAGUGGCGGACGGGUGAGGAAUACAUCGGACUCUACUUUUUCGUGGGGGAUAACGUAGGGAAACUUACGCUCAUACCGCAUACGACCUACGGGUGAAAGCAGGGGAUCUUCGGACCUUGCGCGAUUGAAUGAGCCGAUGUCGGAUUAGCUAGUUGGCGGGGUAAAGGCCCACCAAGGCGACGAUCCGUAGCUGGUCUGAGAGGAUGAUCAGCCACACUGGAACUGAGACACGGUCCAGACUCCUACGGGAGGCAGCAGUGGGGAAUAUUGGACAAUGGGCGCAAGCCUGAUCCAGCCAUACCGCGUGGGUGAAGAAGGCCUUCGGGUUGUAAAGCCCUUUUGUUGGGAAAGAAAAGCAGCAGGUUAAUACCCCGCUGUUCCGACGGUACCCAAAGAAUAAGCACCGGCUAACUUCGUG
Molecule: ribosomal RNA, 492 nt
Filed under: uncultured bacterium
Lineage: Bacteria
Description: partial 16S ribosomal RNA
Rfam family: Bacterial small subunit ribosomal RNA
Source: RNAcentral